RNAcentral lists this ribosomal RNA (798 nucleotides) under uncultured Porphyromonadaceae bacterium. RNAcentral describes it as "bacterial SSU rRNA". It matches the Rfam family "Bacterial small subunit ribosomal RNA", at positions 8 to 795 of the family's 1533-position model. The record is from RNAcentral. Lineage: Bacteria; Pseudomonadati; Bacteroidota; Bacteroidia; Bacteroidales; Porphyromonadaceae.
AGAGUUUGAUUAUGGCUCAGGAUGAACGCUAGCGAUAGGCCUAACACAUGCAAGUCGAGGGGCAGCACAUGAAGUAGCAAUACGGAUGGUGGCGACCGGCGCACGGGUGAGUAACGCGUAUGCGACCUGCCUACAACAGGGGAAUAACCCGUCGAAAGACGGACUAAUACCCCAUAACACAGGGAUCCCGCAUGGGAAUAUUUGUUAAAGAUUUAUCGGUUGUAGAUGGGCAUGCGUUCCAUUAGCUGGUUGGUGAGGUAACGGCUCACCAAGGCAACGAUGGAUAGGGGAACUGAGAGGUUUAUCCCCCACACUGGUACUGAGACACGGACCAGACUCCUACGGGAGGCAGCAGUGAGGAAUAUUGGUCAAUGGACGCAAGUCUGAACCAGCCACGUCGCGUGAAGGAAGACGGCCCUACGGGUUGUAAACUUCUUUUGUAAGGGAAUAAAGUGCAGUACGUGUACUGUUUUGCAUGUACCUUACGAAUAAGGAUCGGCUAACUCCGUGCCAGCAGCCGCGGUAAUACGGAGGAUCCGAGCGUUAUCCGGAUUUACUGGGUUUAAAGGGUGCGCAGGCGGGAGAUUAAGUCGGCGGUGAAAUUUUGCAGCUCAACUGUAAAAGUGCCUUCGAAACUGGUUUCCUUGAGUGUGGAUGAAGUAGGCGGAAUUUGUGGUGUAGCGGUGAAAUGCAUAGAUAUCACGAGGAACUCCGAUUGCGCAGGCAGCUUACUAAACCAUAACUGACGCUCACGCACGAAGGCGUGGGGAUCAAACAGGAUUAGAUACCCUGGUAGUC